UACGUAGGUGGCAAGCGUUGUCCGGAAUUACUGGGCGUAAAGGGCGCGUAGGCGGCCUGUUAAGUCGGACGUGAAAUCCCUCGGCUCAACCGGGGAACUGCGUCUGAUACUGGCGGGCUUGAAUUCGGGAGAGGGAUGUGGAAUUCCAGGUGUAGCGGUGAAAUGCGUAGAUAUCUGGAGGAACACCGGUGGCGAAGGCGGCAUCCUGGACCGACAUUGACGCUGAGGCGCGAAAGCCAGGGGAGCAAACGGG
Molecule: ribosomal RNA, 253 nt
Filed under: uncultured bacterium
Lineage: Bacteria
Description: partial 16S ribosomal RNA
Rfam family: Bacterial small subunit ribosomal RNA
Source: RNAcentral